RNA transcript from Mesoplodon densirostris (Blainville's beaked whale), 6920 nucleotides. It is a transcript of the gene named heat shock protein family A (Hsp70) member 4 like, with no coding region annotated. The transcript has 20 exons. Lineage: Eukaryota; Metazoa; Chordata; Mammalia; Artiodactyla; Ziphiidae. The record is from RefSeq and is a predicted model, not a curated record.
GGAGGCGGCCGAGCCGCAGUGGAGAGAGACCUGGGUGGCGGAGGCUGCGGCGCGGGCGGCCUCCACCUCCUCCAGGGUUCCCCGACGCGCUGCCCUCGUUUUAAUGCGCAGCGACUUCGGGUCAUCUCUCCUUUGCUUCUCGUAGGAGUCGCAGUUCCAGGAGCAACAGCCUAGAAGAGGACGCGGUCCCCGCACAGAGGCUUCAGCACCAUCCCCCCGACCAUUAGGCAGCGGGAUGUCUGUGGUCGGCAUUGACCUCGGCUUUCUCAACUGCUACAUCGCGGUAGCGAGAAGUGGCGGCAUCGAAACCAUCGCCAAUGAGUACAGCGACAGGUGUACCCCAGCCUGUAUAUCUUUGGGAUCAAGAACGCGAGCCAUUGGAAAUGCAGCUAAGAGCCAGAUAGUCACGAAUGUAAGAAAUACAGUUCAUGGUUUCAAAAAGCUUCAUGGGCGAUCAUUUGAUGAUCCUGUUGUGCAAACUGAAAGGAUCAGGCUUCCCUAUGAGCUGCAGAAGAUGUCUAAUGGAAGUGCAGGAGUUAAGGUGCGAUACCUAGAAGAAGAGAGACCUUUUGCAAUCGAGCAAGUUACUGGAAUGCUGUUGGCUAAGCUUAAAGAGACUUCAGAAAAUGCUUUGAAGAAACCAGUGGCUGACUGUGUGAUUUCAAUUCCGAGCUUUUUCACUGAUGCUGAGAGAAGAUCUGUGAUGGCUGCAGCCCAGGUUGCAGGCUUAAAUUGUUUAAGGCUAAUGAAUGAAACUACUGCAGUUGCACUGGCAUAUGGAAUUUAUAAACAGGAUCUUCCUCCGUUAGAUGAGAAACCAAGAAAUGUAAUAUUUAUUGAUAUGGGACAUUCUGCCUACCAGAUCUCAGUUUGUGCUUUUAACAAAGGAAAACUUAAAGUCUUGGCUACUACCUUUGAUCCAUAUUUGGGUGGCAGGAACUUUGAUGAGGUUUUAGUAGACUACUUCUGUGAUGAGUUCAAGACAAAAUAUAAGAUAAAUGUAAAAGAAAACUCUCGGGCCUUGUUGCGCUUAUAUCAGGAAUGUGAAAAACUAAAGAAGCUAAUGAGUGCAAAUGCAUCAGACCUUCCACUGAACAUUGAGUGUUUCAUGAAUGACCUUGAUGUUUCUAGUAAAAUGAACAGGGCUCAGUUUGAACAAUUAUGUGCUUCCCUCUUAGCCAGAGUUGACCCACCAUUAAAAGCAGUAAUGGAACAAGCUAACCUACAACGUGAAGACAUAAGUAGUAUAGAAAUUGUAGGUGGAGCAACACGAAUUCCUGCUGUGAAGGAACAAAUCACUAAAUUCUUUCUUAAAGACAUAAGUACCACAUUAAAUGCUGAUGAAGCUGUUGCAAGAGGGUGUGCAUUACAGUGUGCGAUUCUCUCACCAGCAUUUAAAGUGCGUGAAUUUUCCAUAAUAGACCUUGUUCCCUAUUCAGUCACAUUAAGAUGGAAGACCUCUUUUGAAGAUGGGACUGGGGAAUGUGAAGUAUUCUGUAAGAACCAUCCUGCCCCAUUCUCAAAAGUCAUUACUUUCCACAAGAAAGAACCAUUUGAACUAGAAGCAUUUUAUACUAAUUUACAUGAAGUGCCUUAUCCAGAUCCAAGAAUUGGGAGCUUCACUAUUCAGAAUGUUUUCCCACAGUCUGAUGGUGAUAGUUCCAAAGUUAAGGUUAAAGUUCGUAUUAACAUCCAUGGAAUCUUCAGUGUGGCUAGUGCAUCAGUAAUUGAGAAGCAGAAUAUAGAAGGGGAUCACAGUGAUGUUCCUAUGGAGACAGAAACUUCUUUUAAGAAUGAAAACAAAGAUGAUGUGGAUAAAAUGCAGGUUGACCAGGAAGAAGAGGGUCAUCAAAAAUGUCAUGCUGAACACACUCCAGAAGAAGAAAUUGAUCAUACAGGAACCAAAACAAAGUCUGUACCCUCAGAUAAACAAGAGCGAUUAAACCAGACCAUUAAAAAAGGAAGAGUCAAGAGUAUUGAUCUACCUAUCCAGAGUAGCCUGUGUAGGCAAUUGGGCCAAGAUCUUCUCAACAUCUACAUUAAAAAUGAGGGGAAGAUGAUAAUGCAGGACAAAUUAGAGAAAGAAAGAAAUGAUGCGAAGAAUGCUGUUGAAGAAUAUGUAUAUGAUUUUAGGGACAAGCUUGGCACUGUCUAUGAAAAAUUCAUCACUCAAGAAGACUUGAGAAAACUGUCUGCAAUAUUGGAAGGCACAGAAAAUUGGCUUUAUGAAGAAGGAGAGGACCAAGCUAAACAGAUUUAUGUGGAUAAGCUUCAAGAACUAAAGAAAUAUGGCCAGCCAAUUCAAAUGAGGUACAUGGAACAUGAAGAGAGACCAAAAGCUUUAAACGACUUGGGAAAAAAGAUCCAACUUGUCAUGAAAGUUAUAGAAGCAUACAGAAACAAGGAUGAAAGGUACGAUCAUUUGGAUCCUGCUGAAAUGGAAAAAGCUGAAAAAUAUAUCAGUGAAGCCAUGAGUUGGCUGAACAGUAAGAUGAAUGCACAGAACAAACUAAGUCUCACUCAAGAUCCUGUAGUGAAAGUUUCAGAAAUAGUUGCAAAGUCAAAGGAACUGGAUCAUUUCUGUAACCCCAUAAUUUAUAAGCCCAAACCAAAAGUAGAGGUUGCUGAAGACAAGGCAAAAGCUAAUAGUGAACACAACGGACCAGUGGAUGGACAGAGUGGGACUGAAACUAAACCAGAUACAACAAAAGACAGCACACAGCAUACUAAAUCUUCUGGAGAGAUGGAAGUGGACUAAGUCUUAAUUUCACCUUCACGUAAUUCAAACAGUGCAAGUAACCACAGGGUCCAUUCUUCUUCUUUUACAUCUGGUACACACAACAGAUGUUUAGUUGUUCUUAACCCACUUUUUGUCAUUUGUUUUUUGGAGUAGUUUUGAAAAGUGUUUUAUAUUGAGUGCACCUCUGUUCAUUUCCAUUGCUGCUUAAUGUGAAGCUUUAGCUGAAUAUACAUUAACAAGUCAGUUUAAGCUUUCCUAAUAUAUUUUAUGUCAAACAUGCAAGAUUGAUAAGUAGUUGGCAACCUUAUUUAAAGCUUCUACUUGGAUAAACCUCAGCUCUUUUGUUCAGGAAAGGAUAAUAUAUUGUGCUACUGUUGAAGAAGCAUAGAUUUAAUUGCAUCAUUAUUUUGAAAAACAAAUAUUGAAACUGAUGCGGUUUAAAGCCACCAAGUCACUGACCUUUUUCUAGUUAUGGUAUUGUUAUAAUUUAAAUAUUAAAACAAGAGGUUCCUUGACAAAUUAGUCCAUCUCGUUGGUGUGCCGUGAGAACUUCAAAACUUUUUCAUCAUAUAAAUGAACUAAAUCACACAUUGAAAUGGAAAAUGCACAAUUUUAUGUUAAGAUGACACCAGCAGUUAGCUUCAUUAGUCAUGUGGAUUGAUGUUUCUCAGAGUAAUUCAGUGUCUUUAGCACUUGAAACUUCUGAUCUACUUGUCCUGAAGACCAGCUGCUGCUAAAGUGAUGCUGGCCCCAAAAUGAUGAAGCAUUUUUGAUGAAAAUACCUUCAUGUUAAGGGGGAAAUGCUGUUGACCUACUCAGACAUGCAUCUGUGAUGUUGAUAACCUUGUUUUAGUUUUAAUAGUUGUUUUGGUCUUCUUAAUUGAUUUUGUUAAUGUGUUAACAGAGGGCAGGGAGAAACGGCACAAUGUGUAUUGCAUUAUAUACAUUUAUCACUGAUUUACUUAAUGUUAACAUAUAAACACUAAAUAAGCAGUAAUACUUGAAAAGAAGCACUUAUAACAUAGGUCUUAGGAAAUACUGCUUGUAAUAAACUUAACUGUGUUACACAUCAACAGGCAAAAUAUAGAAUGUUACAUAGUGUAAUAUGAUAUGGUGUGAUUAAAUUAUAGUUCCUGCUGUUACGUUACCUGUUCAGACCUUGGCUCCAGUUUUGGUGCUUCAUAUAUAAAUUAUAUGGGUUGAGGGGCUGUGAAAUUAAGAUAUUUUAAAGACUUAAUCUGUGCUUCAUCACCAGACUUGUUCACACUGUUCAGUUCUGUGCAGAAGCUUGAUAUGGGAGCAGAAUGAAAUGACUUUUCAACCUACAAGAAAAAGAAGCAUAGACAAUGCAUGGGCACUUGUGUUCUUAAUGCCAACCAACUAGAUUGACAUAGGUUAAAAUUUUGAAAGGCUCAGUCUUCCCCAAAGCUACAUCAUCUUUAUAUUAAGAAUUAAAAAAAAAUUAAUAUGGACUUUUCUUAAUAAAAAUUGAGAAUUUAAUAUCUUUAGGGAUAGUCGUUACUUCUCACAACUAGUUCUCUAAGAGAGAUUCUGUUUCUACAAUGUAGUCUGCACUGAAAGGAAAAUAUGGAGCAGUGCAUUUUGCAGGGAUUUUUAUUCAUCCUUUUUGAGGGAGAUAUCCCUUUUUUGCAUUAAAAAAUCAUAUAGACCCAAUAUAUUUUUUAAUGUUUUCAAACUAAUGAAGUAAUUAUAUCCAUUAGUAAUGAUGAAAUACAUUUUUAAAAGCAUGUUUGUUACUUUUCGUUUGUAUGUUGAAUAUAUAGGUUCACUUCAGUAAGAGCAUAAAAGUUAUGAAAGGGAAUAUAUAACAGUACACAUAGGGAGUUCACAGCUUUUUCUUAAGAAGAAAAUCUCCACCCAUUUUGUUAGGAGCUGUACUUCCAAAACUAAUUGGGAAUAUGUGGGAGCAAACCUUUCUGCAUCUGAAUUGUGUAGUACAUCCUGACAUUUUCCAGUUCCGUAAGUCAGUUUAUAUAGUUCUGUGUUUUAGUCAGAAUUAUAACAUUCCAAUUCCUGCAGUCAUGUAACACUUCAUUUAAUAAGUUAAUUAUAUCCAAAGAUAAUAUGUAUGCUUUUCCUACCCAUUUAUUCAACUUAAAUGAUUUUCAAAAGCCCUUAACCUUAUAAUUAUUUAUUGAAUACAGUAAUAAAAAUGUUCUCCUUAAUUUAGUUUUGGGUAGAAGGCAUGGGCUCAGUUUAAUUUUAAUCUGUAUGAAAUAUGCAGUGCUUAGAUGAAAAAGAUCUUUUUUCAAAAUAAAAAGCCACUAUUUUAGAAGUUAUUUUUAAAAAUACAUUGCAAAAUAGGAUGCUUUCCUGUAGUAAGCAAAUAAGAACUAAGUAUGUAGGAAAUGAUUAAUAGGAUUAAUAGGAAAUGAUUAAUCUAACGUAUUAAUCUAAUACACUACGACUCUGGAAAAGUGUAAAUUAUUUGGUUUUAGAAAUCAACUCCUGAUAGCCAAUCACGUGGUGAUUUUAAAAACAAAGAUCGCUAAAUAAUAUAACAAAAGAAAGUCUUCGAUGUUUUAAUUCCUUAGCAAUAUACAGAAUACUUAAGUUUUAAAACAACUGUUGAUACAAACAGCACACCAAAGAAUGAGGCUAUUGGAAUAACAGAUAAUCUCAAUUUUAAAAAGGUAAAAAUUAGACUUUAAGAAGAAAUAAAGAUGUCUUAGACUUUGGGGGGUCAAUUUUUAGUAUACUUAUGAUUAUAUUUCCUAGCUAGAAGUCUUUAAAGUGAAUUUGGGGGAUCAAUUGUCAAUAUAAUAAACUGAUAUGUUAAAACAGUUUAUCCAAAUUAGCACAGCUUCAACUGUUUUGAAAGACUAUAUUUAAAGAUAAUAGACAUUUGAAUACAGUGAUCAGUUGACCCAAAACAGAUUUAACCAUCCCUCCGUUUUCAUAAAUUUGAAUUGUAAUACUAGGCCUACAAACAUUCCCAUUAGGAUUUUGUUUUGUUUUUAAUAGUUGGUAUUUGGUAGUCCACAACAAUUAAAGUCUUGGCAUUAACUUUACAUAUAUCAUAGAUUUAGAAGUGAUAGAAAAAUAUAACUUCAUGUUUCUCAACUUUUAGAAUCUGACAACAAAAAAACUUCAGUUCUAAAGUAGAUGUUAUUUUGUGGUUAGACUUCAGAACUUCUAAGUGGAAUCUGGUUUUGUGAUAGUGGAUUCUGUAAAACUUAAUGAGAGGCAUUAUCUAAUUGUAUUGAUACAUCAGUAUUUAAAAUCUGAUGGCAUUGAUUAAAGUCAGCCACUGAUGACUUUUCAAAUGACACAGGUAUAAGGAUGCUUAUAAAGUCUGAGUCUAAUGUUUUAUUAUCCUCUUAACUACAGUAUGUUUUAUAACUAUCAGUCAUUUACCAAACUAAUCUUCUUAGUCAAUUUCAGAAGAGACAGACUUUUUGAUCAAAAAAGAGAAAACAGUUUUAAAAGUACCUUUUUUUUUGUCAAGGUUAAGCCAAAGUAUAAUUUUAAAACAACUUCCAGGAAGCACAUAAUCUUUUCUUUUGAUAAAAAGUAAUAAAAUUUAAUGCAGAUCAAGACCAGGUCUUUAACCAAAACAACCAAAAGCUUUAGUUAUUUUACUUUCACAUCUCUAAUACACAGUAAACUAAAAUUAAUAUUCUUCCAUAUACUCAUGUUUCCUAACCAAACAGCUCUGGGUUUAUAAUAUAGCCAGAUGUCUUAAGUUUUUUUUCCCUUGUUAAAUUCAAGGGUAAUUGUUUCAUACAAUAACAGGGUACCUGUUUUAGAGUAUUAACAAACUGCUUAGAAGAAAAACCCCUAAAUGUGUAUGGCAGUAGUCAGUACCUAUAGGUGGUAAUGGCUCUUUCACCUUCCAGAUCUCUAGGGGUACCUCUAGCAUAUUGUUGGAGUAAGCAUUAAGAGAAAAGGCAUGUCUGUUAAGAUACAUUAUUAAAUAACUUGAAGCUUUCAAGUCAAAGAAAGAAAACUAAUAAUUGAAUCAGGAACAUUUGACUUAGUCUGUCAGGCAGGUGUCAAAAUCCAUAUCAACAACAACAACAAAAAUAAAUGGUAAUGAUCUUUGCUUUGGAAUCUCUAAUUUACGUCAUGUCCUAGGUCACAUGAUGAGUAUUAGGGAAGUGUAUUGAUUACCCAUCCUAUAAAGAGAUUAGUGAACUUCAACAUGUUUUAGAUAGUU